AAAACUUUUUGAACCGAAGAGGCCUGUUCUCCAGCUCCCAGUUCUCUUAAGACCUAGCGACGAACUGGCCGCCCGCUUCUCCCGGCUCCGCCCCCCCAGCCGACUCACCCCGCUUCCCCAAGGAAAGGAAAGAGGGCAGAGCCAUGGCCAUGGCGGCGCUGCGUGAGGCCUCCCGCCGCCUGGCCUUCACCUCCACGCGGGUCCUCGCCGGCGCCGCCACGCGCCCGCUGCUCCUCACGCACUCUCGCGGCAUCACACACAAGCUCUUCAUCGGAGGCUUGUCACAAUUUGCAACGGAAGACAGCCUAGCAGAAGCUUUCACGCGUUAUGGCCAAGUAUUAGAAGCAACCAUUGUCACGGAUAAGAUGACCAGCCGAUCAAAAGGAUUCGGCUUUGUGAAAUUUGCCUCCGAGGAAGAAGCCAAUAAAGCACGGGAAGAGAUGAACGGCAAGGUACUGAAUGGGCGAGUUAUAUAUGUCGACAUUGCAAAGGCCAAACAGGACCGUGCUGCAGACGUAGUUCCAAUAGCAAGAGGCCCUCCUAAGCCAGUCGGCAACACCUGAAAAUGCGUGUUGUGUUGAUGAUAAUAUAAAUAAGAACAACACAUCGAAGAGCAUAUCAGAUAAUGUUGCUGUUCUUUAACCUCGUCGACAUCGACAGGUGUCUGAUACAAUCCUGUGCUAGAACAAUGUUUUCCCCAUGGCUCCCUGGAGCCAAUGCUUUGCUGUUCCUACUUAGCAGGAGUACUUUAAAUAAACUUCAUUAAUUGCUGUAGGUGGG
RNAcentral lists this ribosomal RNA (780 nucleotides) under Triticum aestivum (bread wheat). Its description in RNAcentral is "partial small subunit ribosomal RNA". Lineage: Eukaryota; Viridiplantae; Streptophyta; Magnoliopsida; Poales; Poaceae. The record is from RNAcentral.